This 253-nucleotide ribosomal RNA is filed under the name uncultured bacterium. Its description in RNAcentral is "partial 16S ribosomal RNA". It matches the Rfam family "Bacterial small subunit ribosomal RNA", at positions 524 to 776 of the family's 1533-position model. The record is from RNAcentral.
UACGUAGGUGGCAAGCGUUGUCCGGAUUUAUUGGGUUUAAAGGGUGCGUAGGCGGCCCUGUAAGUCAGUGGUGAAAUACUCCAGCUUAACUGGAGGGGUGCCAUUGAUACUGCAGGGCUUGAGUGGAGUCGAAGUAGGCGGAAUUGACGGUGUAGCGGUGAAAUGCUUAGAUAUCGUCAAGAACACCGAUAGUGAAGACAGUUUACUAGGCUUCUACUGACGCUGAGGCACGAAAGCGUGGGGAGCGAACAGG